Molecule: non-coding RNA, 26 nt
Filed under: Rattus norvegicus (Norway rat)
Lineage: Eukaryota; Metazoa; Chordata; Mammalia; Rodentia; Muridae
Source: RNAcentral
UAGAUCCUGUUAUGACUUACAGGACA